This is a long non-coding RNA of Gorilla gorilla gorilla (western lowland gorilla), 465 nucleotides long. RefSeq lists it as uncharacterized. The transcript has 6 exons. Lineage: Eukaryota; Metazoa; Chordata; Mammalia; Primates; Hominidae. The record is from RefSeq and is a predicted model, not a curated record.
CGGGCCCAAAGUCACUAGAGUUUUGCUCCUGGGACGGGACGUCCGAGAGGUACGCUCCAAUUUCCAGUUUCUGUGGAAAUUCAAUAGAGAGAUAAAUGUUGUUUUCAUCAAGUGUUUGUACCAGCUAGUAUUUCUUCCUGAAAAACAAACAAGCAAGGCAACAAAAGCAAAUAUCGAAAAGGAGUAGAACAGCUGGAAUUUAUAAUCUUCCUUCUGAACUAACAGCUUUUGGUUCCAGAGGGCCAUAGUCUUCAUAUACUUCAGCACUCCAUGAAGGCUUUCUUGGUACUGUUCAAAGGCCAGAGGAACUACUAUCACAGAACCAUUCUAGAUGUGAGUUCCUAGUGUGAAAGGACUGGGAGUUAACAGAAGAGCCGCACCAUAUCUUUGUGAAGCUGACUUUUCUUCAUAUACUUCAACCAAAAUUUCAUGUUGCAGCAGGUUGAAUGCUGAAGUACAUAUCGG